Molecule: ribosomal RNA, 482 nt
Filed under: uncultured bacterium
Lineage: Bacteria
Description: partial 16S ribosomal RNA
Rfam family: Bacterial small subunit ribosomal RNA
Source: RNAcentral
AUUGAACGCUGGCGGCAUGCCUUACACAUGCAAGUCGAACGGUAACGGGCCUUCGGGUGCCGACGAGUGGCGCACGGGUGCGUAAUACAUCGGAACGUGCCCGAUCGUGGGGGAUAACGAGGCGAAAGCUUUGCUAAUACCGCAUACGAUCUACGGAUGAAAGCAGGGGACCGCAAGGCCUUGCGCGGACGGAGCGGCCGAUGGCAGAUUAGGUAGUUGGUGGGAUAAAAGCUUACCAAGCCGACGAUCUGUAGCUGGUCUGAGAGGAUGAUCAGCCACACUGGGACUGAGACACGGCCCAGACUCCUACGGGAGGCAGCAGUGGGGAAUUUUGGACAAUGGGCGCAAGCCUGAUCCAGCCAUGCCGCGUGCAGGAUGAAGGCCUUCGGGUUGUAAACUGCUUUUGUACGGAACGAAAAGCCUUCUUUUAAUACAGGAGGGUCAUGACGGUACCGUAAGAAUAAGCACCGGCUAACUACGUG